UGCGCUUUGGUGUAAUUGGUUAGCACAUCACAUUUUGAUUGUGACAGUAUCAGUUCGAUUCUGAUAAGCGUAG
RNAcentral lists this transfer RNA (73 nucleotides) under Bacteriophage sp. Its description in RNAcentral is "tRNA-Gln". It matches the Rfam family "tRNA". Rfam says of the family: Transfer RNA (tRNA) molecules are approximately 80 nucleotides in length. Their secondary structure includes four short double-helical elements and three loops (D, anti-codon, and T loops). The record is from RNAcentral.